UGGCCAGACAAGGGGUGAGAAGACGUUGGCAGCCAGUGAGGUUAUCACAGUGACUGAAGAAAAUGGGUAGCCCUUUGUAGAGUGCUCAUUGUCUAGAAUUCCCACUUAAAGCAGGCCCUCCAGCAGGCAGCGUGUGCCAGAGAUGCUUGUUAAAUGACGUUGCUUCAGAGUGCAGGUGCAUCUUUCUGUUCCUUUGUGUGUUUUUUGCAGACAAAUAAAUGCUUCUUCCUUAGUACUUGCAAAUGUCACUGUUGAAUAUUUAAUGAGCUAUUGAAUGACAGGCUUGGGGAGUUGACUGGAGACCCGAAAAGAUCCUCUCACUCAUCUUUUAUACAUUAUCUGUAAGUGGACAUUGUCUUUUGGUUGUGACCACAGACCAGUGUCUGGAGAGCUGGCGACUUCUGACUGGGAAUCAGAGAAGCCCCAAGCACUCCCCUGCUCGCUGUAGACUGCACAGCCUCUGUACUGCUCCUUAAAAAAAAAAAAAA
This 488-nucleotide long non-coding RNA is filed under the name Rattus norvegicus (Norway rat). Its description in RNAcentral is "long non-coding RNA NONRATT007990". Lineage: Eukaryota; Metazoa; Chordata; Mammalia; Rodentia; Muridae. The record is from RNAcentral.